This is a long non-coding RNA of Megachile rotundata (alfalfa leafcutting bee), 667 nucleotides long. The record is from RefSeq and is a predicted model, not a curated record. Lineage: Eukaryota; Metazoa; Arthropoda; Insecta; Hymenoptera; Megachilidae.
AUGUUGAGAAUUUAUUUUGAUAGUUUGUAAAUUUAAAAAUUGAAUGUUUUCAAGUAUUUAAAUUUUAAAUUACUGCGCGUGUGCACUGCGCAAGUUGAGCUUAUGCGCAUGCGCAGCAAUGGCGAGAAAGACCGUUUGGCGAGGAUGGAAGACUACAUGAAGGGGCAUUCAUUAAACCGUUGAAAGUGAAAUCUACUAGGCUCAAGAAAGAUUACAUGGUUUUUUACGUUACGAACGAUUAACUUCGGAGAGAUUAAGCAAAACAGGUCAAGAUAAAAAUAGAGAUGCGAUUAUUUACGUCUGUCAUUGACUACAGGUGUAGUAUGACGUUCAAGAUGAAGACAACUUGAAUACUUAUAUUACGGAGCUUUCUAAUUAUAACACUUUUUUUUCCAGUUAUACUUUCUGAAUACAAUUCUUUUAUGAAUGCCAUUACCUUCUGUAUAUCUUCUAACUAGUGCAGUUUUUCCUGAAAAGAGUAAACAGAAGAUUGUUACUGAAAGAAAGUUGCAGCUGUUCAAUCAGAAGAAGCAAACAAUAGUCGUGUUUAACAUGUAAACAGAAUUGUUCAGAUGCUACACAAUUUCUAAUGACGUGAACCUAAGAAAAGUUAACCAAUCAAAAGAUGAAAUCGCGAUGAAUUCACACGAUAUUGAAUGGAAACCAU